Raphanus sativus (radish) is the source of this 565-nucleotide long non-coding RNA. RefSeq lists it as uncharacterized. NCBI's taxonomy places the organism in Eukaryota, Viridiplantae, Streptophyta, Magnoliopsida, Brassicales, Brassicaceae. The transcript has 4 exons. The record is from RefSeq and is a predicted model, not a curated record.
UUGUACUAGGGUUACAAGCUUUAGGUCACGGCCGUUGUGAUCUUGAAAGAGUUUAGUAAUUUGCCUUGCCAGGCCCCAGAGACGUAGCCACAUCGGUGAACUCUGGGUAAUCAAUUAAUCUCUGUGUGUGCUCCUGUUCUUAUUUCGUUUCUCUUUCAUUCUUUGCGUAUUCGUGUUCGUGAGGGUUAUUCCGUGAGAGUUACGUUUCGCGACUUGUUCAACGUCGGUUUGAGAUUGAACAGUUUCGCGGGUUCAUAUCGAACACUAAAACGAACCUAAAUCCUAACACGUUCUUCAGUCGGCUAUUCCAUGUAUAAAUAGGCUGAGAGUUGUUCAUCCGUCGCGGAGGCCAGGCUGCUGCGAUUCUGGGAAGCUGAGAAUGUCAAGCGUUGGGCCGAUUUGCUCUUUGUCACGUAAACGGAUGCUGUCGGAGCUGUGAUGAAGAUCUGGGUUUGAAUUGUAAGCUCCAGGAUCAGAGAUUAGGGUUCCGAGCACCCAAGUUGACCAUCUCCGAGAAGCUAUCUCUUGGCAAGAGAAAGAUAGAAGAAGGGAAGAAGAAUAUAGA